UAAAUAAAAUCAUGACUCGAUGUGGAGAUGGUUCCACUUUUUUUUUUUUUCUGAGUAGUCAGCUUCUGGAAAAUUUUCCUACUCUUUAAAGUUUAGUGAUAAAUGCUAGAUUGCUUUAAUUGCACAAAGCAGAAGUUUGGCAUCUUGAUUUAUUUUUGCACGCAGCUCCAACCACUGAGAAAUUAGGUUAACUGGGUCAGCAGAUGUAUUGAUGAAUGAUAUCUCUGGGUGAAACGCUUUUCCUUUUUUUUUUUUCCCCUCUCCUUUCAUUAACCUUUACAGGGUAAAGACCUACUUUUUCUGCAGUGUGAUUGCAUUAUGGCCGCUUAUGUAACUUGUUUUUAUCCUCUCUCUUUCCCACAAUAACUUUCAAGGUUGUGAACCAGUUUUAUCCAAACUUGACAGGUAAACUUCUUGAGGGUGAUUAACUUCUGUGCAUGUUUUCUGAGCAUUUACAAAUGGGUGACAAGUGGUACUGUCAGAGUGUUUCCUGAUAAGAUGUCCUGAUCAGGACAUAUAUUAUAUAUCAUAGAUUGUCUUCACGCUGCUGAACAGAUUUGCAAAAUGAAGAUAACUACUUCUCUUUCCCACAAGCAGCAUAUUGUGACUUCCUUUAUUUGACCAUUAAGCCUUUUGUUGUGCUUCUAGAAAUUUCCUCAAGAGGACACGUUCAGGACAGAUGCUUCUUAAUGAGCGAUGUUGAUCUGUGGUACAGCUGCUACAAUGAAGAUCUCUCUUAUCAGCAAGCAGCCAUACCUCACAAAUAGUCUUUUUCUUUCACUAGUUUAAUUAUAGAUUUCCCCCUGAAUCCCAUAUCCCUUUCCUUCCACCUUAUCAGUGCUUUGAAAUUUCUUUUUCCUUUAUUCAUCUUUUUUUCUUUUUUUUUUUUCUUUUUUUUUAGAGGUCUUUAAAAAUGUGUAGAUGUAGAGCAUAGUGACGUGGAUUAAUGGUGGGCAUGGCAGUGCCAGGUUAAAGGCUACCAGAUGAUCUUAGAGGCCUUUUCCAACCUAACUGAUUCUAUGAUACUGUGAUCUUUCAUCCUGCAUCUUGCUGGACUUCUUCUCUUGCCCCUUCCCUUCAAAAGGACUAGUCUCAGUGGCUGGGAAGGGUAACUCUGCUGGGUUCACCGCUGUGGAACCCUGGCUAGAAAAAUUCAGAGCAUCACUGGCAAGAAAGGAAAGAUGUUUCGAUGCUAGGGAUGUGCUUGGAGAUGAGGCUCAGAGAUGACGCGGAACGGAGGCUUGCUGAUUCAUAAUGAAAGGCAGAGCCAGGGAAAUCCUGGGGAGUUGCAAGGCUGCAGAAAAGCCUCGGCAUCAGUGAGCUGAAUAAACAAAUUUGUUUGUUUAUUGCUUUUUUUAAUUGGGGUUGGGAGAGUGUGGGUAAAGAUGAAGGGGGAGGAUCCUCCUUUUUGGAAGGCCACAGAGUCUGGUGCUGCUCUUGGUGUGCUCUCUGAUGCUCGGCUGUCGCACACAUUUGAAAUUCAGAAGCUGAAGGAACAAACUGGGUGCAGGAAGCUGCCAUUUUUCAAAACCAGCACUGGGGUGGGACAAGCAAGCAGUUGCUUGCUCUGCUCUGUACCAAAAUUCAAAGGUGACUUGUUAAAUUUGACGUCUGGUGGUAGCUUUAGGUAACAGUAGCUGCAAGUUAGUGAUGGAUGCUCGUAUCAGUGUGAUCGUUUAAGUACAGGAGGGUCACUUGGAACCAGUUUUAUGGCACUGCUUACCAUGUGGCCCCUCGGAAGUCUGGGGGAAUCUGUGAAUUAUGACCUAAUACAGGAGAGGAGGCCAAACUCUUCAAUAACACUGCAUCUGAUGAGUCAAUACAGGCGUGCUGAUGGGCAGUCAGCGUGUGUGAAGCUUUGGACGAGCCACAGAAUUCAUCUUCUUGGUUCAAACAGUAUGGUGACGUUAGAGAAGGCAGGGUUAUUGUGUAUAUAAGAGGAGUAGAACCUAAAUCCACAAGAAGCCAUGGCAUCAUUAAUUUCGUUGCUCAUGGAAAGGAAAAUGCUGUGGGUUUUAAAUUUUGCAAACCAUAGGGAAUUUCCUUUGGCAUUUGGAGCUGUGAUUGUGCAGCCAGGUUUGGAAAUAGCGUAAGCAAUAGCAAAGCGGUUGGAGGUCAGAAGGCUGGUGAAGCAUCGUCGUCAUGGAGUUGUAUCCGCCAGCAAAUAUCGGUCUGUGGCUAUCUUUCGUUUUGUUUGUUUGCCUCGUCCUCUUUCUCCUGAUUGCUUGUUCAGAUUGGUUUGGUUUGGAAUCUCUUUGUGGCUGUUACAAAAAGCCAGACUAUGUUACAGGGCGUGUUAAGAUCAUUGAAAGUUAUCAAUGCACGAGUAUGAAUGGAACACAAAAAUACAGGGAACGUGUCAAGUUUAGGUUGGAAAGCUGAAUGAAUCUAAAUUUAUAUCUUGCAGGCAUUUAUUUGAAGAAGAAAAAUUCGGUUUCUUAUUAAUAUAUAUAGUCACUUGUGCUGUGUAUAUGGGAUGCACAACAACAGAAAAUAACAUUAGGCUUUCUUUAUCCCCUUACGUAUCCAUGCUAACUCAUCCUGUUCACUCACUAAAAGCCAUCACUUAACCUUGUUUUGGCAGCAGUGCCCAUUCCCAGCGCUUUCGUCCACAUAGAUAUAAAAACAGGGGCUCCCCUGCCCCACAAACAGCUGGCACGUGGACAUUUGACAAUAAAAUCCCAUACCUGGAGCUGCGGGGAACUGCUGUUCCACCAGCGGAGAGGAACGUGAAAUAUUCUCAACAGCGGGCUUUUUGUCUGAAUGAUGAGCGGCUUUGUGAAUCUUGUUGGGAGCUAGGGCAAUCCAGAGCUGGAAUUGGGGAAAAUUGACUUUGCAGUGCCACGGAUAGCGUGCAGUCACAGCUGGAGAGCCUUCCUAAAGGUGAUGGCAGUAGAUGGACUGAGCAUCAAAAUUCGCUGUUUGUGUAGCCUUGUCGAUACAGAGAGUCCUAGUACGGAGAGCUGCCCUGUGCAAUAGUCUAACUAAUCCUUUGCAAUUAGUGGUGGCUUCUAAAUAUAAAACUAAAGAAUUGUUUUAGUUUAGAAACCUUUUUGACUGUUACACAGAAAUAACUGGUAGUGCUCUGUCCCAGGUACAGGUAGAAGUCGCUUACUGAAGUAUGCACAGUGAAAUAAUUUUUUUAAUAGCAGGUGUUUUGUUUUCCCCAGCCUGCCCAAGUGAGAAUUCAGGUGAGGCCGCCUAUCACAGCUUCUAUAUCACGGACUUGAUUGCAUCUUAUUACUUCUAUGAAGUCCGUAUUAAUUCAGUGUUGGGAUUCUCUGCUGAAGUUACAGCAGUAGUGGGAUACUGAGAAGAUGAUGUUCCAAAUAUAAUAUAACUAACUUUGCUUUCUUAUUUCUAGCUCGUGUACCAGCUUAUUGCUAACUUAAAUUAGUAUAAAUUGAUUGAUAUCCACAUUUACAUUGUAAAAUAGAUACUGUAAUAUAUGCAAGAGCGCCUUCGGAAAGUAAAAUAUUAAAUAAUUUUAAAUUAUGCACAC
Molecule: long non-coding RNA, 3502 nt
Organism: Cygnus olor (mute swan)
Lineage: Eukaryota; Metazoa; Chordata; Aves; Anseriformes; Anatidae
Exons: 2
Source: RefSeq, a predicted model, not a curated record